This 1038-nucleotide ribosomal RNA is filed under the name Streptomyces atrocyaneus. Its description in RNAcentral is "bacterial SSU rRNA". It matches the Rfam family "Bacterial small subunit ribosomal RNA", at positions 195 to 1234 of the family's 1533-position model. The record is from RNAcentral. Lineage: Bacteria; Bacillati; Actinomycetota; Actinomycetes; Kitasatosporales; Streptomycetaceae.
GGGGGUCGAAAGCUCCGGGGGUGAAGGAUGAGCCCGCGGCCUAUCAGCUUGUUGGUGAGGUAAUGGCUCACCAAGGCGACGACGGGUAGCCGGCCUGAGAGGGCGACCGGCCACACUGGGACUGAGACACGGCCCAGACUCCUACGGGAGGCAGCAGUGGGGAAUAUUGCACAAUGGGGCGAAAGCCUGAUGCAGCGACGCCGCGUGAGGGAUGACGGCCUUCGGGUUGUAAACCUCUUUCAGCAGGGAAGAAGCGAAAGUGACGGUACCUGCAGAAGAAGCGCCGGCUAACUACGUGCCAGCAGCCGCGGUAAUACGUAGGGCGCAAGCGUUGUCCGGAAUUAUUGGGCGUAAAGAGCUCGUAGGCGGUCUGUCGCGUCGGAUGUGAAAGCCCGGGGGCUUAACCCCGGGUCUGCAUUCGAUACGGGCAGACUAGAGUGUGGUAGGGGAGAUCGGAAUUCCUGGUGUAGCGGUGAAAUGCGCAGAUAUCAGGAGGAACACCGGUGGCGAAGGCGGAUCUCUGGGCCAUUACUGACGCUGAGGAGCGAAAGCGUGGGGAGCGAACAGGAUUAGAUACCCUGGUAGUCCACGCCGUAAACGGUGGGAACUAGGUGUUGGCGACAUUCCACGUCGUCGGUGCCGCAGCUAACGCAUUAAGUUCCCCGCCUGGGGAGUACGGCCGCAAGGCUAAAACUCAAAGGAAUUGACGGGGGCCCGCACAAGCAGCGGAGCAUGUGGCUUAAUUCGACGCAACGCGAAGAACCUUACCAAGGCUUGACAUACACCGGAAAGCAUUAGAGAUAGUGCCCCCCUUGUGGUCGGUGUACAGGUGGUGCAUGGCUGUCCGUCAGCCUCAGUGUCGUGAGAUGUUGGGUUAAGUCCCGCAACGAGCGCAACCCUUGUUCUGUGUUGCCAGCAUGCCCUUCGGGGUGAUGGGGACUCACAGGAGACUGCCGGGGUCAACUCGGAAGGAAGGUGGGGACGACGUCAAGUCAUCAUGCCCCUUAUGUCUUGGGCUGCACACGUUGCUACAAUGGC